UACGAAGGGGGCUAGCGUUGCUCGGAAUCACUGGGCGUAAAGCGCGCGUAGGCGGAUCGUUCAGUCGGGGGUGAAAUCCUGGAGCUCAACUCCAGAACUGCCUUUGAUACUGGCGAUCUUGAGUCCGGGAGAGGUGAGUGGAACUCCGAGUGUAGAGGUGAAAUUCGUAGAUAUUCGGAAGAACACCAGUGGCGAAGGCGGCUCACUGGCCCGGUACUGACGCUGAGGUGCGAAAGCGUGGGGAGCGAACAGG
This 253-nucleotide ribosomal RNA is filed under the name uncultured bacterium. RNAcentral's name for it is "partial 16S ribosomal RNA". It matches the Rfam family "Bacterial small subunit ribosomal RNA", at positions 524 to 776 of the family's 1533-position model. The record is from RNAcentral.